UACGGAGGGUGCGAGCGUUGCUCGGAAUUACUGGGCGUAAAGCGUACGCAGGCGGCUUGGUGUGUCGGAUGUGAAAGCCCCGGGCUCAACCCGGGAACGGCAUUCGAAACUGCCGAGCUGGAGUUCGGGAGAGGGAAGUGGAAUUCCUGGUGUAGAGGUGAAAUUCGUUGAUACCAGGAGGAACACCGGCGGCGAAAGCGGCUUCCUGGCCCGAUACUGACGCUCAUGUACGAAAGCGUGGGGAGCAAACAGG
RNAcentral lists this ribosomal RNA (253 nucleotides) under uncultured bacterium. RNAcentral describes it as "partial 16S ribosomal RNA". It matches the Rfam family "Bacterial small subunit ribosomal RNA", at positions 524 to 776 of the family's 1533-position model. The record is from RNAcentral.